GGGCAGGGGCCCAGUUCCCUCUCCGGGGCCCAGAGACACGGUCGCUGCAGGAGGUAGGGCAGCAGUGGUUCCCCUCAGAUGCUGACAGACCUGCUGAGUUUCUCCUGUGUUUGCUUGACCUCUUCCCAUCAGGAUUCAGUUGAAAUUCUGGCUGCUGGCUAAGAAUCUCGCUAAUUGAAGAACAUUCCGAUUAAUAAUAUGGAAUUCGGGGGGAGAUGAAUGGAACAACAAAGAAUGAGUUCUUGAUGUGAGGUUCUGUAGUUAGAGAGAGCUGAGCUGUACUGCGGUGUCUGCAGAUGUGAAAAGAACAGAACUUGGCAUCUUGGAAAGAUGUGGGAACAGAAAAGGAGGAUUGGAAAUCCAAGGAAUCUCUAAAGUUCUCUUUCUAUUUCCUUUUCUUAUGAUUUUUUGUUCUCUGAAGGGAAUUAGAAUGAUUUUUAACAGCUUUAAACUGCCACUGCAGAAGGUGUCUCUUUUUGUGUCUGUGGUGUAGAGAUGUGAUACUUUCCCUUAUUUUUACAAUGUCCACUUUUACUUCCCUCGUUUUAUUUUUUAAUUUCACCUCCAAAGUGAAAGGGCAACAGUUCUGAAGCUGCCUGUGUAAUGAAAGGAGCGGCUCAGUCUGAGUGAAGGGAUUAGUUCGGAAUCGUAUUCCCUGAUCACUCUUGGGACCCCCCUGUUCAAUGCGAGGGAUUUAAAGUAUGAAUCGAGUCCAAACAGAUUAACAUCACAAUUUCCUUUUCGCUUCUCAAAUCGGUAAUACUGUUCCUCAUUUAAAUUUCUGUCAUUACCUAACCCCAAAUGCUUUGUUUUUUUACAGAUGUGAAAAGGCUGAUUGAAUAUUGAGUGGGAUUGUUCAUAAAACUCUUUCAUUUCCAGGCUUUUAGUUUGGAAGUCUGCGGUGGGGAUGCUUUCUCUCUCACUCUGCUGGCUGUGAAAGUACCAAUUAAAAUGAUUGGAGUAACAGAGCUUGUAGCCUUUUCAACUUGGAUCCCAUGAGCCAGUUCCCAGUGUUUACACUUUGAUCCCUGAAUCAAAGACAGAAAUA
Molecule: non-coding RNA, 1048 nt
Organism: Chiloscyllium plagiosum (whitespotted bambooshark)
Lineage: Eukaryota; Metazoa; Chordata; Chondrichthyes; Orectolobiformes; Hemiscylliidae
Source: RefSeq, a predicted model, not a curated record